Molecule: ribosomal RNA, 502 nt
Filed under: uncultured Oscillibacter sp.
Lineage: Bacteria; Bacillati; Bacillota; Clostridia; Eubacteriales; Oscillospiraceae
Description: bacterial SSU rRNA
Rfam family: Bacterial small subunit ribosomal RNA
Source: RNAcentral
AGAGUUUGAUCCUGGCUCGAGACGAACGCUGGCGGCGUGCUUAACACAUGCAAGUCGAACGGAGCACCCCUGAAGGAGUUUUCGGACAACGGAUGGGAAUGCUUAGUGGCGGACUGGUGAGUAACGCGUGAGGAACCUGCCUUCCAGAGGGGGACAACAGUUGGAAACGACUGCUAAUACCGCAUGAUGCGUUGGAGCCGCAUGACUCUGACGUCAAAGAUUUAUCGCUGGAAGAUGGCCUCGCGUCUGAUUAGCUAGUUGGUGAGGUAACGGCCCACCAAGGCGACGAUCAGUAGCCGGACUGAGAGGUUGGCCGGCCACAUUGGGACUGAGAUACGGCCCCAGACUCCUACGGGAGGCAGCAGUGGGGAAUAUUGGGCAAUGGACGCAAGUCUGACCCAGCAACGCCGCGUGAAGGAAGAAGGCUUUCGGGUUGUAAACUUCUUUUAAGGGGGAAGAGCGGAAGACGGUACCCCUUGAAUAAGCCACGGCUAACUACGUG